CGGGGUGUAGCGCAGUUUGGUAGCGCAUCUGCUUUGGGAGCAGAGGGUCGGGAGUUCGAAUCUCUUCACCCCGACCA
This 77-nucleotide transfer RNA is filed under the name Clostridia bacterium. RNAcentral's name for it is "tRNA-Pro". It matches the Rfam family "tRNA". From Rfam's summary of the family: Transfer RNA (tRNA) molecules are approximately 80 nucleotides in length. Their secondary structure includes four short double-helical elements and three loops (D, anti-codon, and T loops). The record is from RNAcentral. Lineage: Bacteria; Bacillati; Bacillota; Clostridia.